This 287-nucleotide ribosomal RNA is filed under the name uncultured bacterium. RNAcentral's name for it is "partial 16S ribosomal RNA". It matches the Rfam family "Bacterial small subunit ribosomal RNA", at positions 773 to 1060 of the family's 1533-position model. The record is from RNAcentral.
GUGGAUUAGAUACCCUGGUAGUCCACGCCGUAAACGGUGGGCACUAGGUGUGGGGGACUUUCCAUGUUCUCCGUGCCGUAGCUAACGCAUUAAGUGCCCCGCCUGGGGAGUACGGCCGCAAGGCUAAAACUCAAAGGAAUUGACGGGGGCCCGCACAAGCGGCGGAGCAUGCGGAUUAAUUCGAUGCAACGCGAAGAACCUUACCUGGGUUUGACAUGCACGAGACGCGUUCAGAGAUGGGCGUUCCUUCGGGUUCGUGUGCAGGUGGUGCACGGCUGUCGCCAACU